This is a long non-coding RNA of Solanum dulcamara, 2465 nucleotides long. RefSeq lists it as uncharacterized. The record is from RefSeq and is a predicted model, not a curated record. The transcript has 2 exons. Lineage: Eukaryota; Viridiplantae; Streptophyta; Magnoliopsida; Solanales; Solanaceae.
CUCUCCUAUGUCACCGCAGGGAGCUAACACCAACUCAACUUUUCUUUCCUCAAGCUAUGAAUCAUCAACAUCUUCCUCUUUAUAGUGUUUCCAUUUCUCCUUCUUAGCUCGCAAAGGUAGUCCUUCACUUCAAAUUUUGCAUUAUCCCUUUCCUUUUUUGAUCCAAAACCUCCUUUCAUUCUUUGUAUGGAUUCACUCCGGUGGAUGAAAUGGGUAUCAAUAAGGUUUCUACAGAGGUACCUCGUCGUAUGUUUGAGGUCAGAGCUCGUUGUGAGCAUUGUCCCUCCCUCAUCUCUCUUUUGAUUUCCCUCUUUUCUUCCUGACUUUUUAUUUUUCCAGUUGAAGCAACAGUGGAAGGACUCUAUUUUUAGACCAAAAGGUGGAGGGGAUAUUUUUGAACCAUUUUCAAUAUGUUAAGGGUAUUCUUGGACCAAAAGGUGUAAGAUAGGCUGAUUUUCAAAAGAUCCUGUCCAACUUAAACAGGGUCGGGCGAUCACAAUGUCAGCUAAUUACAGCAUUAAGCUAGGAUGAUGAGAAUAUAUGAUAUGCAUGAGCUACAAAAAGUUAGCUCGGGAUGUAAAACCACAAAAUGUUACAGAUGGCACAAUCACCUUAUACCGUCAUCUUGUGAAAUUAAGGAGAAUGGUUUGGUAUGAUGCCUCUGUGAGAACGUACCACUGCCGCUCUUGGUGAAAAUGCCUAUCAAAGGGAGUUGAUUGUGGAUCUGCUGACAUUGACAGAUAAAGACACGGAUGGCAGCGAGCUCCAAAUCAUAUUGACAUGAUUGUAUUGUCCUUGCUCAGAUCUUGUUGAGGUCCGGAGGCUUCUAGGUGAGCAUGCUAAAGACAUCCUUCUUGCUUCUAUAGAAUAACUUUGUAGCUUGAUUUGCCUCCAUAAAGUUGCCGUUUCUCUUUAUUGCAUGGUUAUUCUGGUUUCUGUGAUUGAAGAGUGGCUUGUGGUUUUACACAAAUGUAUUUAAUGAGAGAUUACCUCAUGAAUUGAAGAAAUAAUUUAAAUGAGUUGAAUUGAACAAGCAGUAAUGAGUGGCUUGUGAUUUACACAAAUGUAUUUAAAAUGAGAGAUUACCUGAAUUGAAGAAAUAACUUAAAUGAGUCGAACUGAACAAGUAGUAAUCAAUCAUUUUCUUCUGCCUGAUCUGGAUUACAUCACCAGAAUAUAUCAAUUGCUUGCAAUGUUAGUCAUGUGUUACAUCGUUUAAGAAAUUAUUAAAUGAUAUAUAUACUGAACGGUAUGCAUUGAAUGAGGCAGUCUACUUUCAUUUUUUACCCUGGCAUUAUGGAAUUAGACUCACAAACUAAUGGCAAGAGUCAAAGAUACUCUUAGAAGUGUUAUCGUUAUUGUUAGGUUGAAAACCAAGGUAGCAAGUUCUGAUGACAUUCUUGCCAACUCCAAUGCUUUUGUGGUGGCAAGAGGUGGCCUGGGAUUAGAGAGUUCCAAUUGAAAACAUAUUCUUUGCUCAAAAGACAAUGAUUUACAAGUGCAAGUGCGAGUCUACAAAAGGAGCAGUGGAAUUUUCUCUUUGAAUAUGCCGAAACGAAAGGGUUGUGCAAGGGAUGCGAUUCUAUUGAAGCCCUAUACCGUGUUGCAACAUUAGACUUUGAGAGUUUGGAAAUGUCCAACGAUGUUGUUAACCACAUGAAUAUUUAAUUGGUCUUUCAUGCCAACUUGUCAGCUAUUCAAGGGCAAUGGUGGUGAAAAUUGCCAAAUUGCUUUAACAAUGCCCAUAAAUAUGUAGUCCAAAGAAGAAAAAAAAAAUCCCAUUCUUUGAUUCUAAUAGGGAGAUGAAAAAGUGAUUUGAAAUUUCUAUUUCUGUAGGGAAAUGAAAAUGUGAUCUGUGUAUAACAUUUCCAUUUUCCCAAUUUAUUGCCAUUCACUUAUUCCAGAUCUUUUGGAACGAGCUAUACAAAAUAAGCAUGAUCCAUCUCAAGAAGGAAAAACAAAUCAAUUUACCUAAGUGUGUAUAUAGCUUGAGUGUUGUCCCUCAUCCACAGCCAAAGAAUUAGACGAGCAGAAUAUUCUUUGCUCAAAAGACAAUGAUUUACAAGUGCAAGUGCGAGUCUACAAAAGGAGCAGUGGAAUUUUCUCUUUGAAUAUGCCGAAACGAAAGGGUUGUGCAAGGGAUGCGAUUCUAUUGAAGCCCUAUACCGUGUUGCAACAUUAGACUUUGAGAGUUUGGAAAUGUCCAACGAUGUUGUUAACCACAUGAAUAUUUAAUUGGUCUUUCAUGCCAACUUGUCAGCUAUUCAAGGGCAAUGGUGGUGAAAAUUGCCAAAUUGCUUUAACAAUGCCCAUAAAUAUGUAGUCCAAAGAAGAAAAAAAAAAUCCCAUUCUUUGAUUCUAAUAGGGAGAUGAAAAAGUGAUUUGAAAUUUCUAUUUCUGUAGGGAAAUGAAAAUGUGAUCUGUGUAUAACAUUUCCAUUUUCCCAAUUUAUUGCCAUUCACUUA